CGGACGGGUGAGUAACACGUGGGAACGUGCCUUUAGGUUCGGAAUAACUCAGGGAAACUUGUGCUAAUACCGAAUGUGCCCUUCGGGGGAAAGAUUUAUCGCCUUUAGAGCGGCCCGCGUCUGAUUAGCUAGUUGGUGAGGUAAAGGCUCACCAAGGCGACGAUCAGUAGCUGGUCUGAGAGGAUGAUCAGCCACAUUGGGACUGAGACACGGCCCAAACUCCUACGGGAGGCAGCAGUGGGGAAUCUUGCGCAAUGGGCGAAAGCCUGACGCAGCCAUGCCGCGUGAAUGAUGAAGGUCUUAGGAUUGUAAAAUUCUUUCAGUAGGGACGAUAAUGACGGUACCUACAGAAGAAGCCCCGGCUAACUUCGUGCCAGCAGCCGCGGUAAUACGAAGGGGGCUAGCGUUGCUCGGAAUUACUGGGCGUAAAGGGAGCGUAGGCGGACAUUUAAGUCAGGGGUGAAAUCCCGGGGCUCAACCUCGGAAUUGCCUUUGAUACUGGGUGUCUUGAGUGUGAGAGAGGUAUGUGGAACUCCGAGUGUAGAGGUGAAAUUCGUAGAUAUUCGGAAGAACACCA
Molecule: ribosomal RNA, 577 nt
Filed under: Brevundimonas mediterranea
Lineage: Bacteria; Pseudomonadati; Pseudomonadota; Alphaproteobacteria; Caulobacterales; Caulobacteraceae
Description: bacterial SSU rRNA
Rfam family: Bacterial small subunit ribosomal RNA
Source: RNAcentral